CUUGUGUGUUCUCAAGAGGUGGGCCCAAGGGACUUUCCUAGGCCAGGUCUUUGCCCUAUGGGUGGGUCAAUCUGUGUGACAGAUGGCUUUUUGGGGGUCCUGAGGGGGAGCCUCCAUAGCCUGGCCUGUCCCCCACCAGAAUCUCAGGACUCUACCAACAAGAACACCAUUGCCACAUACAACCCUCGACCUCGUAUCACAGCUGGAAGGCCAACAUUAACCUCUUUCCCUUACAACUUGUCCAGCUAUAGCUGCAGGAGUCUCUGGUGGAAGCUGUGGGCUCCAGGCUGAGAAGGAUGCAGACAAGCAGUGCCUAGAUGGGACCAGGAGCCCCCCUGUGACCUUCAGGAUGAGUUGCCAGGCUGGCAGGGAAUCACUUACUACUCUGGAGAGCAAAGCAUCGCACUGCACAGGUGCAGCCUAAGGACACGCAGCAGACACUGGUGCCUUGCUGCUGUUGUCCCAAGACACAGUGCACUGCAGUCCUGGGGCAUGCUGAUAGCCAGCAGAUCCUCCUGCCUAGCGCUCGUCAUGAACGAGCCUUGAGCCAGAGGACCAGGGCCUUACAGUAGGAAUGUUCAGAGAGAAUCCUCAGCUGGUUUGCACAGUCGGAGCACUUGAAUAUCAAACAAGAAAAAUAAGAAAGCCUGGACCUUUGAAGAAAUCAAUAACUGUGAUGUUGAAGGAGUUUGUGUAGCCACAGUCAAGAGCCCAAGUGUGUUACACACCGAGGUUGUAGUGUUGGACAGAGCCACUUUGGGGAACUUCACCACUCUCCAGCUGAUUGUAGGGGUUGUGAAAACAAAGGUGUGAGAGACUUGCACCAGAAAGGAGGCUCAGUCCUCUGGGAGCCAGGCUGUCUGGCUCUUUAGCCCAGCUUUCCUUUUCCCAUAAGGAGCUCCAGACUCAUGGGCAGUAUAGGAUGGAUGACUCAAGAUAGAGAUGCUCGAAGUCCAGGAACAGAUCCUGUAGAUCAUGAACUGAAACGAUGGAGUAAGAGAAGGAAAAGCAGACAAUGUAUCAAAGGUUUUUUGUUUC
RNAcentral lists this long non-coding RNA (1038 nucleotides) under Heterocephalus glaber (naked mole-rat). Its description in RNAcentral is "lncRNA (ENSHGLG00100043917.1)". The record is from RNAcentral. Lineage: Eukaryota; Metazoa; Chordata; Mammalia; Rodentia; Bathyergidae.